CCAGUGUGAUUCGUCACACUAUCAUUAACUGAAUCCAUAGGUUAAUGAGGCGAACCGGGGGAACUGAAACAUCUAAGUACCCCGAGGAAAAGAAAUCAACCGAGAUUCCCCCAGUAGCGGCGAGCGAACGGGGAGCAGCCCAGAGCCUGAAUCAGUGUGUGUGUUAGUGGAAGCGUCUGGAAAGGCGCGCGAUACAGGGUGACAGCCCCGUACACAAAAAUGCACAUGCUGUGAGCUCGAUGAGUAGGGCGGGACACGUGGUAUCCUGUCUGAAUAUGGGGGGACCAUCCUCCAAGGCUAAAUACUCCUGACUGACCGAUAGUGAACCAGUACCGUGAGGGAAAGGCGAAAAGAACCCCGGCGAGGGGAGUGAAAAAGAACCUGAAACCGUGUACGUACAAGCAGUGGGAGCACGCUUAGGCGUGUGACUGCGUACCUUUUGUAUAAUGGGUCAGCGACUUAUAUUCUGUAGCAAGGUUAACCGAAUAGGGGAGCCGAAGGGAAACCGAGUCUUAACUGGGCGUUAAGUUGCAGGGUAUAGACCCGAAACCCGGUGAUCUAGCCAUGGGCAGGUUGAAGGUUGGGUAACACUAACUGGAGGACCGAACCGACUAAUGUUGAAAAAUUAGCGGAUGACUUGUGGCUGGGGGUGAAAGGCCAAUCAAACCGGGAGAUAGCUGGUUCUCCCCGAAAGCUAUUUAGGUAGCGCCUCGUGAAUUCAUCUCCGGGGGUAGAGCACUGUUUCGGCAAGGGGGUCAUCCCGACUUACCAACCCGAUGCAAACUGCGAAUACCGGAGAAUGUUAUCACGGGAGACACACGGCGGGUGCUAACGUCCGUCGUGAAGAGGGAAACAACCCAGACCGCCAGCUAAGGUCCCAAAGUCAUGGUUAAGUGGGAAACGAUGUGGGAAGGCCCAGACAGCCAGGAUGUUGGCUUAGAAGCAGCCAUCAUUUAAAGAAAGCGUAAUAGCUCACUGGUCGAGUCGGCCUGCGCGGAAGAUGUAACGGGGCUAAACCAUGCACCGAAGCUGCGGCAGCGACGCUGAUGCGUUGUUGGGUAGGGGAGCGUUCUGUAAGCCUGUGAAGGUGUGCUGUGAGGCAUGCUGGAGGUAUCAGAAGUGCGAAUGCUGACAUAAGUAACGAUAAAGCGGGUGAAAAGCCCGCUCGCCGGAAGACCAAGGGUUCCUGUCCAACGUUAAUCGGGGCAGGGUGAGUCGACCCCUAAGGCGAGGCCGAAAGGCGUAGUCGAUGGGAAACAGGUUAAUAUUCCUGUACUUGGUGUUACUGCGAAGGGGGGACGGAGAAGGCUAUGUUGGCCGGGCGACGGUUGUCCCGGUUUAAGCGUGUAGGCUGGUUUUCCAGGCAAAUCCGGAAAAUCAAGGCUGAGGCGUGAUGACGAGGCACUACGGUGCUGAAGCAACAAAUGCCCUGCUUCCAGGAAAAGCCUCUAAGCAUCAGGUAACAUCAAAUCGUACCCCAAACCGACACAGGUGGUCAGGUAGAGAAUACCAAGGCGCUUGAGAGAACUCGGGUGAAGGAACUAGGCAAAAUGGUGCCGUAACUUCGGGAGAAGGCACGCUGAUAUGUAGGUGAAGUCCCUCGCGGAUGGAGCUGAAAUCAGUCGAAGAUACCAGCUGGCUGCAACUGUUUAUUAAAAACACAGCACUGUGCAAACACGAAAGUGGACGUAUACGGUGUGACGCCUGCCCGGUGCCGGAAGGUUAAUUGAUGGGGUUAGCGCAAGCGAAGCUCUUGAUCGAAGCCCCGGUAAACGGCGGCCGUAACUAUAACGGUCCUAAGGUAGCGAAAUUCCUUGUCGGGUAAGUUCCGACCUGCACGAAUGGCGUAAUGAUGGCCAGGCUGUCUCCACCCGAGACUCAGUGAAAUUGAACUCGCUGUGAAGAUGCAGUGUACCCGCGGCAAGACGGAAAGACCCCGUGAACCUUUACUAUAGCUUGACACUGAACAUUGAGCCUUGAUGUGUAGGAUAGGUGGGAGGCUUUGAAGUGUGGACGCCAGUCUGCAUGGAGCCGACCUUGAAAUACCACCCUUUAAUGUUUGAUGUUCUAACGUGGACCCGUAAUCCGGGUUGCGGACAGUGUCUGGUGGGUAGUUUGACUGGGGCGGUCUCCUCCUAAAGAGUAACGGAGGAGCACGAAGGUUGGCUAAUCCUGGUCGGACAUCAGGAGGUUAGUGCAAUGGCAUAAGCCAGCUUGACUGCGAGCGUGACGGCGCGAGCAGGUGCGAAAGCAGGUCAUAGUGAUCCGGUGGUUCUGAAUGGAAGGGCCAUCGCUCAACGGAUAAAAGGUACUCCGGGGAUAACAGGCUGAUACCGCCCAAGAGUUCAUAUCGACGGCGGUGUUUGGCACCUCGAUGUCGGCUCAUCACAUCCUGGGGCUGAAGUAGGUCCCAAGGGUAUGGCUGUUCGCCAUUUAAAGUGGUACGCGAGCUGGGUUUAGAACGUCGUGAGACAGUUCGGUCCCUAUCUGCCGUGGGCGCUGGAGAAUUGAGGGGGGCUGCUCCUAGUACGAGAGGACCGGAGUGGACGCAUCACUGGUGUUCGGGUUGUCAUGCCAAUGGCACUGCCCGGUAGCUAAAUGCGGAAGAGAUAAGUGCUGAAAGCAUCUAAGCACGAAACUUGCCCCGAGAUGAGUUCUCCCUGACUCCUUGAGAGUCCUGAAGGAACGUUGAAGACGACGACGUUGAUAGGCCGGGUGUGUAAGCGCAGCGAUGCGUUGAGCUAACCGGUACUAAUGAACCGUGAGGCUUAACCUU
RNAcentral lists this ribosomal RNA (2776 nucleotides) under Escherichia coli 3-073-06_S4_C2. RNAcentral's name for it is "bacterial LSU rRNA". It matches the Rfam family "Bacterial large subunit ribosomal RNA". Lineage: Bacteria; Pseudomonadati; Pseudomonadota; Gammaproteobacteria; Enterobacterales; Enterobacteriaceae. The record is from RNAcentral.